Molecule: unclassified non-coding RNA, 517 nt
Filed under: Hevea brasiliensis (rubber tree)
Lineage: Eukaryota; Viridiplantae; Streptophyta; Magnoliopsida; Malpighiales; Euphorbiaceae
Source: RNAcentral
GUUGCUAUUAAGCCAUUGUCUUUUAUUGCACCAGAUGCAAAGGAAGAGGCUGUCCUUGGAGAUAUAUGGCUGGGAAAAAUCAAAAGCAGUGGAGGUUUACAAAACUCACAUGGUGACAGGAAUGGGGGGUCAAAAGAUGAUAUUGGAGACUUUGCUGAAGUGACAAGUGAGGGGAGUCCGAGUUCCUUAGGUAGGACUGAUGAAAUUGUUGAAUCUUUUAGAAAGGUUGCUGUUAAUGAUUCCUGUGAUGGUAGGGGGGCCGAGGUGACAGAUACAUCUAUAACUGAGGAAGUAUAUGCUUCAAAAGAAGGUGAACAGAAGCAUAAAACAGUAAUAGGUGGUGAUGGAUUGACGCAUGCAUUUAUGAAUAAAGAUGAUUCCAGCAUUUCCCAGGAGAUUGACCCCAUUAACAAUUUUGUAGAAUUGAAAGCUCUUGAUAAACAUCAAGUGGAGGAUUUGGCUAAUAUGAAGCAUCUAAAGUUGGAAGAUAUUGAGUCAGCUACUUCUUUUGAAAUUG